AGUUACUGAAUGAACCAACACGUGAAGUCAUCUUUUCUCCCCUCCUGUUUCUCAUCACAUGCGGAACUAGCGCCUUUGUUUCACAAUACCAUAUAAACUCCUCGUAGCUUCUGGUAUAUGAGAUUGCCACACAUUUUUUUAGUCCUGCUCUGCAAUGGGUUAAGUAGAAUUUUGCUCCAAAACCAAUGUCACGAUUCCCUGCAAAGAAUCUUGUGAACCUGUAGAUUUCUACCCUCCUAAGCCCUGUGAUGAUUUUACAAAGAAGCAUACGCAAUGCGAAAGGACAGAUAAGCCUUGUCUACAAGAAAAUCUUAGCACAGAUUUUUCUUUUUCAACUCUCUUCUCCCAACACUCCUGAAACACCUCUGCUCCACACAAUUUUUCAUUCUGUCUUUGUCCUGCACAUUACUGUGCAGGCCGCUUAGGUGGCAAGUCAUUAUAGUAAUCUUUUUCUUUUCCUUCACAAAAAAAAAGAGGACAAACUUUCAGAGGCUUAUUUUUGUCUCCUGCUCACUUCUCUGACAAAAGAAGUAUAGAUAUGCACAUGGCAGACAGAAAGAAGUCUGCCUGGGAAGCCCCAGGACCUGGGUCUGCACUGUUUCCUGCGAAAGCUGGGGUAAUCUUUUCAAACAGCCCCGCAGUGGUGUCUGCUGAGCUCCUGUGAGCGGACAAGGUUUGUAAACAGGCAAGACCUAGGGAACUCUGUUCCUUCUAAUAUCCAGGGCCUCCACCAGCUUUGUUUGCCAGUGAUGGAUAAAAACCAAACCUCCAAAGGGCUCAAAUAUUCAGGGGGAAAAAAGGAGAAAAAAGCAGUAUAUUCAUAGCAUGUUUUCCUCAGUGUCUGCCUCACGCACACUUCUUAUGAGAGAGAAGAAUAUUGCCUGGUGUAAGAUGUUCACCCACCUUUUGCCCCCAGACGUCUGUACUUAGAACAAGCUUGGAGGAAAGUUAGCAUCGGUAUCAUCCCCUUCUGAUGGCUUAACAGAAAAGCAAAAUAGCACCAUAAGGCCUCAGGAGAGAAAUGAUUUUAAAGCAUGUUAAAACCACAAAUGCCAUGCAAAUAGAUGCUACAGAAAAACAGAGAGCACUUUGAGAACUAAUGACCUCAGAGCUUGCAGGUCUCAAGUAGCCCCUGUAAAAGGUCAAUUAAUACAGGAUGGAGGAUUAACGAGCAGGAGCUGCUGCUGCCCCUUCCAGCACCUGGGGCAUGGAUGCAAGCAAAAGCCUCAGACUCUUAGAUCUUCAAUCUCUUCUCAUCAUCUGCUUGGAGCCUGCAUGAGGAAGGGCCAGCGGACCACACAGUGUGUAAGUUGAAGAAGCUGAGAUUCCCCAUUGAUGAUGCUUAAGAAACAUCAGAAUUGGGUUCAGAAGUUCAGGAAAGCUCCUCAUCCAUUGUCAUGGCACGUGUGCUUUGGGAAGGCCCACACUCUCAGCUAGAUCCUGGGCCAUCACAUCUUCUCUCUCUUUUCUUUUUUUUAAAUUAAUUGCAGUAACAUUGGAUUAUAAA
Molecule: long non-coding RNA, 1507 nt
Filed under: Equus caballus (horse)
Lineage: Eukaryota; Metazoa; Chordata; Mammalia; Perissodactyla; Equidae
Description: lncRNA (ENSECAG00000057871.1)
Source: RNAcentral